GCUUGCUCCACCGGAAAAAGAAGAGUGGCGAACGGGUGAGUAACACGUGGGUAACCUGCCCAUCAGAAGGGGAUAACACUUGGAAACAGGUGCUAAUACCGUAUAACAAUCGAAACCGCAUGGUUUUGAUUUGAAAGGCGCUUUCGGGUGUCGCUGAUGGAUGGACCCGCGGUGCAUUAGCUAGUUGGUGAGGUAACGGCUCACCAAGGCCACGAUGCAUAGCCGACCUGAGAGGGUGAUCGGCCACAUUGGGACUGAGACACGGCCCAAACUCCUACGGGAGGCAGCAGUAGGGAAUCUUCGGCAAUGGACGAAAGUCUGACCGAGCAACGCCGCGUGAGUGAAGAAGGUUUUCGGAUCGUAAAACUCUGUUGUUAGAGAAGAACAAGGAUGAGAGUAACUGUUCAUCCCUUGACGGUAUCUAACCAGAAAGCCACGGCUAACUACGUGCCAGCAGCCGCGGUAAUACGUAGGUGGCAAGCGUUGUCCGGAUUUAUUGGGCGUAAAGCGAGCGCAGGCGGUUUCUUAAGUCUGAUGUGAAAGCCCCCGGCUCAACCGGGGAGGGUCAUUGGAAACUGGGAGACUUGAGUGCAGAAGAGGAGAGUGGAAUUCCAUGUGUAGCGGUGAAAUGCGUAGAUAUAUGGAGGAACACCAGUGGCGAAGGCGGCUCUCUGGUCUGUAACUGACGCUGAGGCUCGAAAGCGUGGGGAGCAAACAGGAUUAGAUACCCUGGUAGUCCACGCCGUAAACGAUGAGUGCUAAGUGUUGGAGGGUUUCCGCCCUUCAGUGCUGCAGCUAACGCAUUAAGCACUCCGCCUGGGGAGUACGACCGCAAGGUUGAAACUCAAAGGAAUUGACGGGGGCCCGCACAAGCGGUGGAGCAUGUGGUUUAAUUCGAAGCAACGCGAAGAACCUUACCAGGUCUUGACAUCCUUUGACCACUCUAGAGAUAGAGCUUCCCCUUCGGGGGCAAAGUGACAGGUGGUGCAUGGUUGUCGUCAGCUCGUGUCGUGAGAUGUUGGGUUAAGUCCCGCAACGAGCGCAACCCUUAUUGUUAGUUGCCAUCAUUCAGUUGGGCACUCUAGCAAGACUGCCGGUGACAAACCGGAGGAAGGUGGGGAUGACGUCAAAUCAUCAUGCCCCUUAUGACCUGGGCUACACACGUGCUACAAUGGGAAGUACAACGAGUCGCGAAGUCGCGAGGCUAAGCUAAUCUCUUAAAGCUUCUCUCAGUUCGGAUUGUAGGCUGCAACUCGCCUACAUGAAGCCGGAAUCGCUAGUAAUCGCGGAUCAGCACGCCGCGGUGAAUACGUUCCCGGGCCUUGUACACACCGCCCGUCACACCACGAGAGUUUUAACACCCGAAGUCGGUGAGGAACCUUUGAGCCAGCCG
RNAcentral lists this ribosomal RNA (1393 nucleotides) under Enterococcus durans. RNAcentral describes it as "bacterial SSU rRNA". It matches the Rfam family "Bacterial small subunit ribosomal RNA". Lineage: Bacteria; Bacillati; Bacillota; Bacilli; Lactobacillales; Enterococcaceae. The record is from RNAcentral.